UAGUCACCAUCUUACACUGUGUUUAUGUUGAAGCUAUGCCACCUUCCCAGUAGGUUAUUUUGGCACUACAGCCCCCAAAUCGGGGAUUCAUACAUGGGGUUUUACAAACAGAAAACAACUCAGUGCAGACCUUUUAACUGCUCAGCAUGCGCUCCGACAGCUCGCUGCCAGCAGUACCACCGGCACGCCGGGCAGCCUGCAGAACCUCAGCGGCCCGAGGUUUUCCAGCUAUUUCGAGCACGGGGACAGGCUGCCCAGGCUGCUCCAACUGAUGGCGUUGGAGCAGCGUUAGGACACCGCUCUCAGCCAUGGCGGCUGAUUUUAGGGCGGUCCUGUGUGGAGCCAGGAGUUGGACUCUGAUCCUUGUGGAUCCCUUCCAACUCAGGAUAUUCUGGAGAAAAAAAAAAACAAAAAACAAAAAACAAAAAAAAACAUAACAGGGCAGCUCGGUGUGAGGGACAAGCAGGAGCCGCGGGCUCCCCACAGGGACGCCCUCCCCGCCCGCUCCCUCAGGGCGCUCCUGAGGUAACUCCAACGGCCGCCCCCACAGCGCGCACGCGCACGCCCAUCUCCGCCUAACGGCCGCCGCUGCCUGCGCGAGCCUCCGCGCAUGCGCGGCUCCGCUCCCCCCCUCCCAGCUGCGGCCCGCGUGACGUCACCGCGCCGGGCGGAGCGGGGCGUGGCGGGAGGGCCGGGGCGCGAUUUUUCAAAAUGGAGGCGGCGGGGGGGGGGAGCGGCCGCCGGGCCCGCGAGGCAGCGGGGCUGGGCCGAGGCGGGCGGCGGCGGGCGGCGUGAGGGCGAUGGGGAGCCGCGGCCGGCGCCCCGGGGACAGCUCCUAGCGGCAGCCGGGCGGCGAGAGAGCGGCCGGACGGCGCCAUGGCGACCUGCAUCGGCGAGAGCAUCGAGGACUUCAAGGUGGGGAACCUCCUGGGAAAGGGCUCGUUCGCCGGGGUCUACAGAGCGGUGUCCCUGAAAACGGGUCUGGAAGUGGCUAUCAAAAUGGUAAGGCAGCCAGCACGGGGAUCUCGGCCUUCUCAGAGUUAUCGAGGGCAGGCUGCAGCAGGCUGCGUGUUAUGGCUUUGGGCGUUUGUGCCUGGUCACUCGUU
Molecule: long non-coding RNA, 1106 nt
Filed under: Anas platyrhynchos platyrhynchos (common mallard)
Lineage: Eukaryota; Metazoa; Chordata; Aves; Anseriformes; Anatidae
Description: lncRNA (ENSAPLG00000028496.1)
Source: RNAcentral